Non-coding RNA from Acanthosepion pharaonis, 115 nucleotides. Lineage: Eukaryota; Metazoa; Mollusca; Cephalopoda; Sepiida; Sepiidae. The record is from the annotation of a GenBank genome assembly.
UUAUGGCCAUAUCAAAUUGAAACACCGGUCCUCAUACAAUCACCAAAGUUAAACAAUGUUGAUCCUGGUCAGUAUGAAGAUGGGUGACCACUUAGGAAUAGUAGGUGCUGUAAUC